RNAcentral lists this ribosomal RNA (299 nucleotides) under Arabidopsis thaliana (thale cress). The record is from RNAcentral. Lineage: Eukaryota; Viridiplantae; Streptophyta; Magnoliopsida; Brassicales; Brassicaceae.
GCAUCAAAGCUCGUUAAGACUAGAUGGGGUAUCCCUACAUAGUGGGUGGGACCCACGGCGAAUGGUUCAUCAAGUCUUCAAAAAAGAAUAUAUACGAUUGCAUUGCAUAUACUAACGGAUGCGAUCAUACCAGCACUAAUGCACCGGAUCCCAUCAGAACUCCGCAGUUAAGCGUGCUUGGGCGAGAGUAGUACUAGGAUGGGUGACCUCCCGGGAAGUCCUCGUGUUGCAUCCCUCUUUUAUGUUUAACCUUUUUUUUUUUGGGUUUAAAACUUUAUGACUCCAUAACUUCUACCAGA